This 549-nucleotide ribosomal RNA is filed under the name uncultured Lachnospiraceae bacterium. RNAcentral describes it as "bacterial SSU rRNA". It matches the Rfam family "Bacterial small subunit ribosomal RNA", at positions 131 to 694 of the family's 1533-position model. Lineage: Bacteria; Bacillati; Bacillota; Clostridia; Lachnospirales; Lachnospiraceae. The record is from RNAcentral.
UCAAAGAGGGGGACAACAGUUGGAAACGACUGCUAAUACCGCAUAAGCCCACAGCUCCGCAUGGAGCAGGGGGAAAAGGAGCAAUCCGCUUUGAGAUGGCCUCGCGUCCGAUUAGCUAGUUGGUGAGGUAACGGCCCACCAAGGCGACGAUCGGUAGCCGGACUGAGAGGUUGAUCGGCCACAUUGGGACUGAGUACACGGCCCAGACUCCUACGGGAGGCAGCAGUGGGGAAUAUUGCACAAUGGGGGAAACCCUGAUGCAGCGACGCCGCGUGGAGGAAGAAGGUCUUCGGAUUGUAAACUCCUGUUGUUGGGGAAGAUAAUGACGGUACCCAACAAGGAAGUGACGGCUAACUACGUGCCAGCAGCCGCGGUAAAACGUAGGUCACAAGCGUUGUCCGGAACCUACUGGGUGUAAAGGGAGCGCAGGCGGGAAGACAAGUUGGAAGUGAAAUCUAUGGGCUCAACCCAUAAACUGCUUUCAAAACUGUUUUUCUUGAGUAGUGCAGAGGUAGGCGGAAUUCCCGGUGUAGCGGUGGAAUGCGUAGA